This 953-nucleotide ribosomal RNA is filed under the name uncultured organism. Its description in RNAcentral is "bacterial SSU rRNA". It matches the Rfam family "Bacterial small subunit ribosomal RNA", at positions 25 to 978 of the family's 1533-position model. The record is from RNAcentral.
CAGGAUGAACGCUAGCGGCAGGCCUAACACAUGCAAGCCGAGGGGUAAGUCUCUUUCNGGGAGAACACGACCGGCGCACGGGUGAGUAACGCGUAUGCAACCUACCUUUGGCACGGGGACAGCCCGGGGAAACCCGGGUUAAUACCCGGUAUAGUCUGUUAUACACCUGUAUAAAAGACGAGAGCUACGGCGGCCAAAGAUGGGCAUGCGUGCCAUUAGUUAGUUGGUAGGGUAACGGCCUACCAAGGCAUCGAUGGCUACGGGGUCUAAAAGGAUGAGCCCGCACACUGGUACUGAGACACGGACCAGACUCCUACGGGAGGCAGCAGUGAGGAAUAUUGGUCAAUGGGUGGAAGCCUGAACCAGCCAUGCCGCGUGCAGGAAGACGGCCUUAUGGGUUGUAAACUGCUUUUCUACGGGACGAACGGCUCUGACGCGUCAGGGAUUGACGGUACCGUAGGAAUAAGCAUCGGCUAACUCCGUGCCAGCAGCCGCGGUAAUACGGAGGAUGCGAGCGUUAUCCGGAUUUAUUAGGUUUAAAGGGUGCGUAGGCUGGGCAAUAAGUCAGUGGUGAAAGUCCGCGGCUCAACCGUGGGAUUGCCAUUGAAACUGUUGUUCUUGAGUACAGUCGAGGUAGGCGGAAUGUGUAAUGUAGCGGUGAAAUGCAUAGAUAUUACCCAGAACACCGAUUGCGUAGGCAGCUUACCAGCCUGGAACUGACGCUGAUGCACGAAAGCGUGGGGAGCGAACAGGAUUAGAUACCCUGGUAGUCCACGCCGUAAACGAUGAUCACUCGCUGUUGGCAAUAUAGAGUCAGCGGCUGAGCGAAAGCAUUAAGUGAUCCACCUGGGGAGUACGUCGGCAACGAUGAANACUCAAGGAAUUGACGGGGGCCCGCACAAGCGGUGGAACCAUGUGGUUUAAUUCGAUGAUACGCGAGGAACCUUACCUGG